Molecule: ribosomal RNA, 492 nt
Filed under: uncultured bacterium
Lineage: Bacteria
Description: partial 16S ribosomal RNA
Rfam family: Bacterial small subunit ribosomal RNA
Source: RNAcentral
GAUGAACGCUAGCUACAGGCUUAACACAUGCAAGUCGAGGGGAAACGACAUCGAAAGCUUGCUUUUGAUGGGCGUCGACCGGCGCACGGGUGAGUAACGCGUAUCCAACCUGCCCAUCACUUGGGAAUAACCUUGCGAAAGUAAGACUAAUACCCAAUGAUAUCCCACGAAGGCAUCGGAAUGGGAUUAAAGAUUUAUCGGUGAUGGAUGGGGAUGCGUCUGAUUAGCUUGUUGGCGGGGUAACGGCCCACCAAGGCAACGAUCAGUAGGGGUUCUGAGAGGAAGGUCCCCCACAUUGGAACUGAGACACGGUCCAAACUCCUACGGGAGGCAGCAGUGAGGAAUAUUGGUCAAUGGGCGAGAGCCUGAACCAGCCAAGUAGCGUGCAGGAAGACGGCCCUAUGGGUUGUAAACUGCUUUUAUAAGGGAAUAAAGUGGGUCACGUGUGACUUUUUGCACGUACCUUAUGAAUAAGGACCGGCUAAUUCCGUG